Molecule: ribosomal RNA, 549 nt
Filed under: uncultured Micromonas
Lineage: Eukaryota; Viridiplantae; Chlorophyta; Mamiellophyceae; Mamiellales
Description: SSU rRNA
Rfam family: Eukaryotic small subunit ribosomal RNA
Source: RNAcentral
AUAGCGUAUAUUUAAGUUGUUGCAGUUAAAAAGCUCGUAGUUGGAUUUCGGUUGAGAACGGCCGGUCCGCCGUUUGGUGUGCACUGGCUGGUUUCAACUUCCUGUAGAGGACGCGCUCUGGCUUCACGGCUGGACGCGGAGUCUACGUGGUUACUUUGAAAAAAUUAGAGUGUUCAAAGCGGGCUUACGCUUGAAUAUUUCAGCAUGGAAUAACACUAUAGGACUCCUGUCCUAUUUCGUUGGUCUCGGGACGGGAGUAAUGAUUAAGAGGAACAGUUGGGGGCAUUCGUAUUUCAUUGUCAGAGGUGAAAUUCUUGGAUUUAUGAAAGACGAACUUCUGCGAAAGCAUUUGCCAAGGAUGUUUUCAUUAAUCAAGAACGAAAGUUGGGGGCUCGAAGAUGAUUAGAUACCAUCCUAGUCUCAACCAUAAACGAUGCCGACUAGGGAUUGCAGGAUGUUAAUUGAUGACUCCUGCAGCACCUUAUGAGAAAUCAAAGUUUUUGGGUUCUGGGGGGAGUAUGGUCGCAAGGCUGAAACUUAAAGGAAUUG